Non-coding RNA from Paramuricea clavata, 226 nucleotides. The record is from the annotation of a GenBank genome assembly. Lineage: Eukaryota; Metazoa; Cnidaria; Anthozoa; Malacalcyonacea; Plexauridae.
GCGAAAGAAACCCGUUUGCCCUCUAGAAUCACUUAAGGUGGCAACACCAAUAUUCCAACUUGUUCUAAGUAUGGCCGUACAGAACUGAAUUAGGUAUAAUUUUAAUUCUAUUAAGAGAAUGGCUGACGUGUCUAUCUUCUCUGAAAAUGAUGAGUUCUGUUCCUCAUCAUCAACAUUUCGUUUUGUGUAGCCUAAUAAUUAGUAAUAAAGAGAGAUUUUGGCAGGG